Molecule: ribosomal RNA, 459 nt
Filed under: uncultured bacterium
Lineage: Bacteria
Description: bacterial SSU rRNA
Rfam family: Bacterial small subunit ribosomal RNA
Source: RNAcentral
ACUCCUACGGGAGGCAGCAGUAGGGAAUUUUCCGCAAUGGACGAAAGUCUGACGGAGCAAUGCCGCGUGAGUGAUGAAGGUUUUCGAAUCGUAAAGCUCUGUUGUAAGGGAAGAAUAGCAAGAAUAGGAAAUGAUUCUUGUCUGACGGUACCUUACCAGAAAGCCACGGCUAACUACGUGCCAGCAGCCGCGGUAAUACGGAGGGUGCGAGCGUUAAUCGGAAUUACUGGGCGUAAAGCGCAUGCAGGUGGUUUGUUAAGUCAGAUGUGAAAGCCCGGGGCUCAACCUCGGAAUUGCAUUUGAAACUGGCAGGCUAGAGGUCUUGUAGAGGGGGGUAGAAUUUCAGGUGUAGCGGUGAAAUGCGUAGAGAUCCUGAAGGAAUACCAGUGGCGAAGGCGGCCCCCUGGACAAAGACUGAGCGCUCAGAUGCGAAAGCGUGGGGAGCAAACAGGAUUAGAU